This 1372-nucleotide ribosomal RNA is filed under the name uncultured bacterium. RNAcentral's name for it is "bacterial SSU rRNA". It matches the Rfam family "Bacterial small subunit ribosomal RNA", at positions 28 to 1381 of the family's 1533-position model. The record is from RNAcentral.
GAUGAACGCUGGCGGCGUGCCUAAUACAUGCAAGUCGAGCGAACGGACGAGAAGCUUGCUUCUCUGAUGUUAGCGGCGGACGGGUGAGUAACACGUGGAUAACCUACCUAUAAGACUGGGAUAACUUCGGGAAACCGGAGCUAAUACCGGAUAAUAUUUUGAACCGCAUGGUUCAAAAGUGAAAGACGGUCUUGCUGUCACUUAUAGAUGGAUCCGCGCUGCAUUAGCUAGUUGGUAAGGUAACGGCUUACCAAGGCAACGAUGCAUAGCCGACCUGAGAGGGUGAUCGGCCACACUGGAACUGAGACACGGUCCAGACUCCUACGGGAGGCAGCAGUAGGGAAUCUUCCGCAAUGGGCGAAAGCCUGACGGAGCAACGCCGCGUGAGUGAUGAAGGUCUUCGGAUCGUAAAACUCUGUUAUUAGGGAAGAACAUAUGUGUAAGUAACUGUGCACAUCUUGACGGUACCUAAUCAGAAAGCCACGGCUAACUACGUGCCAGCAGCCGCGGUAAUACGUAGGUGGCAAGCGUUAUCCGGAAUUAUUGGGCGUAAAGCGCGCGUAGGCGGUUUUUUAAGUCUGAUGUGAAAGCCCACGGCUCAACCGUGGAGGGUCAUUGGAAACUGGAAAACUUGAGUGCAGAAGAGGAAAGUGGAAUUCCAUGUGUAGCGGUGAAAUGCGCAGAGAUAUGGAGGAACACCAGUGGCGAAGGCGACUUUCUGGUCUGUAACUGACGCUGAUGUGCGAAAGCGUGGGGAUCAAACAGGAUUAGAUACCCUGGUAGUCCACGCCGUAAACGAUGAGUGCUAAGUGUUAGGGGGUUUCCGCCCCUUAGUGCUGCAGCUAACGCAUUAAGCACUCCGCCUGGGGAGUACGACCGCAAGGUUGAAACUCAAAGGAAUUGACGGGGACCCGCACAAGCGGUGGAGCAUGUGGUUUAAUUCGAAGCAACGCGAAGAACCUUACCAAAUCUUGACAUCCUUUGACAACUCUAGAGAUAGAGCUUUCCCCUUCGGGGGACAAAGUGACAGGUGGUGCAUGGUUGUCGUCAGCUCGUGUCGUGAGAUGUUGGGUUAAGUCCCGCAACGAGCGCAACCCUUAAGCUUAGUUGCCAUCAUUAAGUUGGGCACUCUAAGUUGACUGCCGGUGACAAACCGGAGGAAGGUGGGGAUAACGUCAAAUCAUCAUGCCCCUUAUGAUUUGGGCUACACACGUGCUACAAUGGACAAUACAAAGGGCAGCGAAACCGUGAGGUCAAGCAAAUCCCAUAAAGUUGUUCUCAGUUCGGAUUGUAGUCUGCAACUCGACUACAUGAAGCUGGAAUCGCUAGUAAUCGUAGAUCAGCAUGCUACGGUGAAUACGUUCCCGGGUCU